CGGAUCUCUUAGAGCCGUUCUCAGUUCGGACUGUAGGCUGCAACUCGCCUACACGAAGCUGGAAUCGCUAGUAAUCGCGGAUCAGCACGCCGCGGUGAAUACGUUCCCGGGUCUUGUACACACCGCCCGUCACACCAUGAGAGUCUGUAACACCCAAAGCCGGUGGGAUAACCUUUAUAGGAGUCAGCCGUCUAAGGUAGGACAGAUGAUUAGGGUGAAGUCGUAACAAGGUAAC
Molecule: ribosomal RNA, 235 nt
Filed under: uncultured bacterium
Lineage: Bacteria
Description: partial 16S ribosomal RNA
Rfam family: Bacterial small subunit ribosomal RNA
Source: RNAcentral